GCGGAGAGGCGGCCUGCGCGGCAAACGGUAGGCGGCCUGCGCGCAGCGCUGCUGAGCGGCUGGGCCGGCGCUCGCCCGCGUAGGCGUCCGCGGUGCGCAGCGCUUCCGCCUGCAGGGGCCAGCGCCCAGCGGCCAACUGAGCCGGCCAGAUUUCAGAAUGUCGAAAAGAACUAUACAAUCAUACUUUUCAAGUUCAAGUGCUUCAACUCCACACACUAAUGAGAGCACAUCUGAACCAAAGAAAUCUAGAGCGGAGUUUUGUCAUUCAGAUUUAAUUGGGGAUCCUGGAAAACGCAAACCUAUUGAUGAUUAUCAACCUGAAAUUAGAGAUCAAGUAAGGAGGGCAUAUGCUUUGAAUGGUCCAACUCAACCUCGUGAUCUUGUAUUUCCUCGUAAAUGGAUGAGUGGUGAAUUUAGAUCUUUUCAGAAGACUUGGUUUGAUGAAUUUGAUUGGCUAGAGUAUAGUGAGUACAAAGGUGCAGCUUAUUGCUUGUAUUGCUAUCUCUUCUUUAAUUCGUCAAAGCCUGAAAAAUUUGGUAGUUCGGUCUUUGCACAUCAAGGUUAUGUGAAUUGGAAGAAAGCUAAGGAUAUUUUUAAUAAGCACAAUGUUUGCAAGACUCAUGUAGAAGCUAGGCAAAAGUGUGAAGACUUUAUGAACCAAAGGACAAAUGUGGGUAGAAAAUUAGUUCAAGUGGGUAAAGAGGAAGAAAAACGCUAUGAGAUUCGUUUGACAACUUCUUUAGAUGUUGCAAGAUUUCUCAUAAUGCAAGGGGAUGCUUUCCGUGGACAUGAUGAGUCUUCUACUUCGCUUAACAAGGGUACAUUUAGAGAAAUGGUUGAUUGGUACAAAGAUAAGGUUGAGAUAGUGAAGGCGGCAUAUGAAAAAGGUUACAAAAAUUGCCAAAUGUUAUCUCCUUAUGUGCAGAAAGAUCUUACAAAAGCUUGUGCAGAGGAAGUCAUGAGUGUCAUUAUGGAUGAGAUUCGUGGUAGAAAAUUCUCAGUGCUUAUUGAUGAGUCUCGAGAUGUAUCAAUAAAGGAGCAAAUUGCAGUGAUUCUAAGGUUUGUGAAUGAUGAAGGGAAAGUGAUGGAGAGAUUUCUUGGACUUCAGCAUGUUGAGAGUUGUACAGCUAUUGCAUUGAAAGAGGCUUUGGUCCGUAUGCUUUCAAGUCGUAAGUUAUCAAUCUCUAUGCUUCGUGGGCAAGGGUAUGAUGGAGCUUCUAAUAUGAGAGGUGAAUUUAAUGGGGUGCAGAAAUUGAUUCGUGAUGAGAAUACUUAUGCUUUCUAUGUGCAUUGUUUUGCCCAUCAAUUGCAACUAGUGGUUGUUUCUGUCUCAACUUCUAGUGCAGAUAUUGCAGAUUUCUUUAAUUAUGUUCCUUUAAUAGUCAACACUGUGGGUGCAUCUUGUAUGAGAAAGGAUGUUUUGCUUGCAAAGCAUCAUGAUGUGUUGCUAGAAAAGAUUGAGAAUGGUGAGAUUAUGACCGGAAGAGGUUUAAACCAGGAAAGUGGUCUAGCUAGACCUGGAGACACCAGAUGGGGUUCACAUCUUAAAACUUUGCUUCGCAUUUUGGUGAUGUGGGAGGCUAUCAUAGAUGUCCUUGAGAUAGUCAAGAAAGAUUCUGUUAAACCAGCAUGUACUGGUGGAGCUUUAGGUUUAAUUGGAAAAAUGGAGAGCUUUGAUUUUGUGUUCAUCAUGCAUUUGAUGAUAGAAUUGUUGGGCAUGACAGAUAUUUUGUCACGCGCUUUGCAAAGGAAAGACCAAGACAUAGUUGAAGCUAUGCAUUUGAUAACGGAUGUGAAAGAUAUCUUGCAGGAUAUAAGAGAAAAUGGAUGGGAGCCAUUACUCAAAAAAGUGAAAACUUUCUGUGAGAAGAAUGAGAUUGAAGUGCCGGAUAUGGAUGAGGAAAUAAAUAUCAGAGGGACAUCUAGACGUAGGAAGCAAAAGUGGCAACUGCUUCAGUAGAGAGGAUAUUUUCAGCCAUGUCCCUUAUAAAGACAGAUUUGCAUAGUAAAAUGGGUGAUGAAUGGCUCAAUGACUUGAUGAUAUGCUAUAAUGAGAAGGAGAUAUUUAGAAAGAUUGAAAAUGAAAAGAUCAAAAAAAAGUUUGAAGAGAUGAAGAACCGUCGUAUGUUAAUGCCUAAAAAAUUGAUGAUUGCUUCUUCGGAUGAAUAAUGGGUGUCACCGUCACGCCCGUCGUCUAUUAGUCUCGUACUUUGGCUUUUCGGUAUGGAUAAACUGCAUUUUUAUUUUUUCAUGAUGUAUUUUUAAAUUUUCAUCCGUCAUUGAUGUUUCAAUAUCAUAUUGCUUCAAAC
Molecule: RNA transcript, 2309 nt
Organism: Panicum virgatum (switchgrass)
Lineage: Eukaryota; Viridiplantae; Streptophyta; Magnoliopsida; Poales; Poaceae
Gene name: zinc finger MYM-type protein 1-like
Exons: 5
Source: RefSeq, a predicted model, not a curated record